UACCAGCACCCCGAGUGGUCGGGACGUUUAUUGGGCCUAAAGCGUCCGUAGCCGGUUCUACAAGUCUUCCGUUAAAUCCACCUGCUCAACAGAUGGGCUGCGGAAGGUACUAUGGAGCUAGGAGGCGGGAGAGGCAAGCGGUACUCGAUGGGUAGGGGUAAAAUCCGUUGAUCCAUUGAAGACCACCAGUGGCGAAGGCGGCUUGCCAGAACGCGCUCGACGGUGAGGGAUGAAAGCUGGGGGAGCAAACCGG
Molecule: ribosomal RNA, 253 nt
Filed under: uncultured bacterium
Lineage: Bacteria
Description: partial 16S ribosomal RNA
Rfam family: Archaeal small subunit ribosomal RNA
Source: RNAcentral